Long non-coding RNA from Oreochromis niloticus (Nile tilapia), 462 nucleotides. RefSeq lists it as uncharacterized. The record is from RefSeq and is a predicted model, not a curated record. NCBI's taxonomy places the organism in Eukaryota, Metazoa, Chordata, Actinopteri, Cichliformes, Cichlidae. The transcript has 2 exons.
CCCUGGUAAGAUUUACAGCAAUCAGGAGUACAGGGUUCUUUGAAUGCAUCGUACUUCUCGUCUGAUAGUUUAAUUUCCGGGCUUGCCCUGAAGGCAUCACCUGCAGCUCGGUGCGUGUGAAGGCGUGGUGUAGAGGAACAAAGACGGCAAGGAAAAACUCCAUGCUGCCACGAAGCACGGUUUUUCCCAGUUGAAAGAGAGAAAAGAAGUUCCAUUAACAUUUGUGAGACAGCUGCUGUAAGCGGUGAACCCCAGACGGGUACCUACCUCGAAGGAGUCGGAGUGUUUCUUCGAACUUUUUGAACUAUUCUGACUGUUUUUUUUUUUGAGGGACAAUUCCAUGUGUGCUGCAUAAGGAGCUGCCAUCGCAGAUCUAGGACACUGUUGCUGCUGUGGAGGCCUUCUGUGUGUCAGGACGCGACUCGUUGAUGCCUGCCGUACCAGGAGGGCGGUAGGAAAAAA